AGAGUUUGAUCCUGGCUCAGAUGAACGCUGGCAUGCCUACACAUGCAGUCGAACGGCGCGGCGGGGUACCUCGCUGGGUGAGUGUAGGGAUGAAGAAUAUCGAACGUCCCUGGAGGGGGGAUAAGUUCGUAAGUUACGCUAAUACCGCAUACGAUAAGGAUGAAAGUGGGGGAUCUCAAGACCUCAAUGCGUCCUGGAGCGGCCGAUAUCUGAUUAGCUAGUUGGCGGGGCUAAAAGCCCCCCCUAGGCAUCGAUCCAGAAGCUGGUCUGAGAGGACGACCAGCCACACUGGAACUGAGACCACGGUCCCGACUCCUACGGGAGGCAGCAGUGGGGAAUUUUGGGACAAUGGGCGAAAGCCUGAUCCAGCAAUGCCGCGUGAGUGAAGAAGGCCUUCGGGUUGUAAAGCUCUUUUGUCAGGGAAGAAACGGUGGUCUCUAAUACAGGCUGCUAAUGACGGUACCUGAAGAAUAAGCACCGGCUUAACUACGUGCCAGCAGCCGCGGUAAUACGUAGGGUGCAAGCGUUAAUCGGAAUUACUGGGCCGUAAAGGCGUGCGCAGGUCGGUUUUGUAAGAUCUGUCGUAGAAAUCCCCGGGCUCAACCUGGGAAUGGCGAUGGAGCACUGGCAAGGCUAGAGUUUGGCAGAGGGGGGUAGAAUUCCACGUGUAGCAGUGAAAUGCGUAGAUAUGUGGAGGAACACCGUAUUGGCGAAGGCAGCCCCCUGUGGUCAAGACUGACGCUCAUGCACGAAAGCGUGGGGAGCAAACAGGAUUAGAUACCCUGGUAGUCCACGCCCUAAACGAUGUCUACUAGUUGUCGGGUCUUAAUUGACUUGGUAACGCAGCUAACGCGUGAAGUAGACCGCCUGGGGAGUACGGUCGCAAGAUUAAAACUCAAAGGAAUUGACGG
Molecule: ribosomal RNA, 911 nt
Filed under: uncultured bacterium
Lineage: Bacteria
Description: bacterial SSU rRNA
Rfam family: Bacterial small subunit ribosomal RNA
Source: RNAcentral